This 436-nucleotide ribosomal RNA is filed under the name uncultured bacterium. Its description in RNAcentral is "partial 16S ribosomal RNA". It matches the Rfam family "Bacterial small subunit ribosomal RNA", at positions 30 to 507 of the family's 1533-position model. The record is from RNAcentral.
AGCGAACGCUGGCGGCAGGCUUAACACAUGCAAGUCGAGCGGGCAUCCUUGUGGUGUCAGCGGCAGACGGGUGAGUAACGCGUGGGAACGUGCCCUUCGGUUCGGAAUAACUCAGGGAAACUUGAGCUAAUACCGGAUACGUGCGAGAGCAGAAAGGUUUAUCUGCCGAAGGAUCGGCCCGCGUCUGAUUAGCUAGUUGGUGAGGUUACGGCUCACCAAGGCGACGAUCAGUAGCUGGUCUGAGAGGAUGAUCAGCCACCCUGGGACUGAGACCCGGCCCGAACCCCUCGGGGGGGCAGAAUGGGGGAAUAUGGAACAAGGGGGGAAACCCGAACCCAGCCGGCGCGGGAGAGUGAGGAGGGCCUGAGGGUUUAAAGGCUCUUUUCCCCGGGACGAAAAGGCGGUAACCGGAGAAAAAGCCCCGGGCAAAUUUGGG